Molecule: long non-coding RNA, 1597 nt
Filed under: Sus scrofa (pig)
Lineage: Eukaryota; Metazoa; Chordata; Mammalia; Artiodactyla; Suidae
Description: lncRNA (ENSSSCG00050009305.1)
Source: RNAcentral
AAAAAAAGACAAAAGAAAUUGGGUAUUAUCAAAAUGAAAACUUGUGUUUCAUGUUUAUGAAGAAAGUGAAAAGAUAACCCACUGAAUGUGAGCAAAGGGACUUGCAUUUAAAAUGUAUGAAGACCUCUUACAAUUCAAUAGUAAAAGACCGCUCCAGUUUAAGAUGAGCAAAGACUCUAAACAAAUAUUUCCUUCAAGAAAAUACCCAAUCAGAUUCGUUUUCUCUGUACCACAAUGGGAACUCUGGGACAGAGAUUCUACUUUUGAAAAUUUCUAGAAAGCUCCUUUAGUGUUGGUCUUCAUUGAAAGGAGCACCCCCCCCCCAGGGCAGAUGACUAUUUUUUCCCUUUUCUGUUUUUGGAACUUUUCUGAAUUCCAAACUUACACAAAAAGGCAAGGAUAAAACCAGGAAGUUCUGUGUACCCUUUACCCAGCUCCCCAGCUGUUUACAUUAGGGCUGAUUAUCAUUGAUCAGCUUCCUAAAAGAAAACGGAAAAAGAAUGAACCAGAUAUGAUUUCUUCCCUAGUCUGAAAUCCCGCAGCUUCUCUGUACGUUUAGGCCUGUUUUUGUGUGUGUGUGUGUGUGUGUGUGUGUGUUUCUUUUUUUACUCUGUCUUGUAUUUGUUUAUGUACUUAUCUCAAGCAAUAUUUAAUGUUGCAGCCUCUGGAACUCCCAGUGCGGAGCUAGUGAGAACCUAGUAAGUGGUUGAAUGCGAUUAUAAUUUUGCUUAUCAAAUUCAGUUUCUCCCAUUCACCCGUUCUAUAAGCCAUGUCUCAUGUUUCUUCUGCGUGUGAGGCUGCAAAAGUCAGUGAAGAGAUUUCGGCGAGAGGAGAGAGUCAUGGUGCCGCACCCCCUUGCUCUGGGUGGCCUGGGGUCAGGAAAAGGGAGGAAGGUGAAGCACUGGAAGUGGCUGGGCAGGACCGGAAGUGGUUGAGCGGGAGAGCUUUGCUGCGGAGGUGGUACCCUGCAGGUGGGCAGAGUGUGGACAGUCCCUUCCUCCCCCAAGGGGGGGUUGGGUUUCUUUCUUUCUUUUUUUUCCGCCGUGCCCACAGCAUGAGGAAGUUCCCAGGCUAGGAACCCAUGCUACAGCAUUGACAACGACCAGAGCCGCAGCAGUGACCACAGCAGAUCCUUAACCCUCUAGGCCACCAGGGAACUCCCCAGAUUUUUAUUUUAAACAAAUUAUUGAGAUAUUCACAUUACACACAGUCCUGUCUUUUAAAGUGUAAAUUCAGUGGUUUUUGAUAUAUUAUUAGGUUUUUUUUUUUAAUUUGUGGUAAAAUAUAUGAGACAAGAUUUAUGACUUUAGCCUUUUAAAAUUAAAAAAAAAUUGUGGUAAAGUUGACAAAACAUAAAAUUUAAUAUUAGCCAUUAAAAAUAGCAGUUAAUAGGAGUUCCCGUCGUGGCUCAGUGGAAACAAAUCUGACUAGCAUUCAUGAGGACACAGGCUCAAUCCCUGGCCUCACUCAGUAGGUUAAGGAUCUGGUGUUGCUGUGGCUGUGGUGUAGGCCAGCGGCUACAGCUCCAAGUCAGCCCCUAUCCUGGGAACCUCUAUAUGUUGCGGGUGUGGCCCCACAAAGACCAAAAAAAAAAAAA